RNAcentral lists this ribosomal RNA (465 nucleotides) under Haptophyta environmental samples. RNAcentral's name for it is "SSU rRNA". It matches the Rfam family "Eukaryotic small subunit ribosomal RNA", at positions 432 to 900 of the family's 1831-position model. The record is from RNAcentral. Lineage: Eukaryota; Haptophyta.
GCGCGUAAAUUGCCCGAAUCCUGACACAGGGAGGUAGUGACAAGAAAUAACAAUACAGGGCUACUUCUGGUCUUGUAAUUGGAAUGAGUACAACUUACAUCUCUUCACGAGGAUCAAUUGGAGGGCAAGUCUGGUGCCAGCAGCCGCGGUAAUUCCAGCUCCAAUAGCGUAUAUUAAAGUUGUUGCAGUUAAAAAGCUCGUAGUCGGAUUUCGGGUCGGGCCGAGCGGUCUGCCGAUGGGUAUGCACUGUUCGGCGCGGCCUUCUUUCCGGAGACCGCGGCUACUCUUAACUGAGCGGGCGUGGGAGACGGAUCGUUUACUUUGAAAAAAUCAGAGUGUUUCAAGCAGGCAGCUCGCUCUUGCAUGGAUUAGCAUGGGAUAAUGAAAUAGGACUCUGGUGCUAUUUUGUUGGUUUCGAACACCGGAGUAAUGAUUAACAGGGACAGUCAGGGGCACUCGUAUUCC